RNAcentral lists this unclassified non-coding RNA (174 nucleotides) under uncultured Trichoderma. Its description in RNAcentral is "sequence contains ITS2". The record is from RNAcentral. Lineage: Eukaryota; Fungi; Ascomycota; Sordariomycetes; Hypocreales; Hypocreaceae. RNAcentral also lists the same sequence under 1 other name.
CAACCCUCGAACCCCUCCGGGGGUCCGGCGUUGGGGAUCGGGAACCCCUAAGACGGGAUCCCGGCCCCGAAAUACAGUGGCGGUCUCGCCGCAGCCUCUCCUGCGCAGUAGUUUGCACAACUCGCACCGGGAGCGCGGCGCGUCCAUUGCCGUAAAACACCCAACUUUCUGAAA